RNAcentral lists this ribosomal RNA (422 nucleotides) under uncultured bacterium. RNAcentral's name for it is "bacterial SSU rRNA". It matches the Rfam family "Bacterial small subunit ribosomal RNA", at positions 506 to 930 of the family's 1533-position model. The record is from RNAcentral.
GGCCAGCAGCCGCGGUAAUACGUAGGGCGCAAGCGUUGUCCGGAUUCACUGGGUGUAAAGGGUGCGCAGGCGGGAAGGCAAGUCAGAGGUGAAAUCUCACGGCUCAACCGUGAAACUGCCUUUGAUACUGCUUUUCUUGAGUCAGGGAGAGGUUGAUGGAAUUCCAGGUGUAGCGGUGAAAUGCGUAGAUAUCUGGAAGAACACCGGUGGCGAAGGCGGUCAACUGGCCCUGAACUGACGCUGAGGCACGAAAGCGUGGGGAUCAAACAGGAUUAGAUACCCUGGUAGUCCACGCCCUAAACGAUGAAUACUUGGUGUUGGCCUUAUUUGGUCAGUGCCGAAGGAAACCUGAUAAGUAUUCCACCUGGGGAGUACGCUCGCAAGGGUGAAACUCAAAGGAAUUGACGGGGGCCCGCACAAGU